Molecule: ribosomal RNA, 282 nt
Filed under: uncultured prokaryote
Description: partial 16S ribosomal RNA
Rfam family: Bacterial small subunit ribosomal RNA
Source: RNAcentral
UACGAAGGGUGCAAGCGUUAAUCGGAAUUACUGGGCGUAAAGGGUGCGUAGGUGGUUUCUUAAGUCAGAGGUGAAAGGCUACGGCUCAACCGUAGUAAGCCUUUGAAACUGGGAAACUUGAGUGCAGGAGAGGAGAGUGGAAUUCCUAGUGUAGCGGUGAAAUGCGUAGAUAUUAGGAGGAACACCAGUUGCGAAGGCGACUUUCUGGUCUGUAACUGACACUGAGGCUCGAAAGCGUGGGGAGCGAACAGGAUUAGAUACCCCGUAGUCCCUGAGCGGGCU